This 746-nucleotide ribosomal RNA is filed under the name uncultured Parvimonas sp. RNAcentral's name for it is "bacterial SSU rRNA". It matches the Rfam family "Bacterial small subunit ribosomal RNA", at positions 28 to 776 of the family's 1533-position model. The record is from RNAcentral. Lineage: Bacteria; Bacillati; Bacillota; Tissierellia; Tissierellales; Peptoniphilaceae.
GACGAACGCUGGCGGCGUGCUUAACACAUGCAAGUCGAACGUGAUUUUUGUGGAAAGCCCUUCGGGGACGGAAAUGAAAUGAAAGUGGCGAACGGGUGAGUAACACGUGAGCAACCUACCUUACACAGGGGGAUAGCCGUUGGAAACGACGAUUAAUACCGCAUGAGACCACAAAGCCACAUGGCUUAGGGGUAAAAGAUUUAUCGGUGUAAGAUGGGCUCGCGUCUGAUUAGCUAGUUGGAAGGGUAAAGGCCUACCAAGGCAACGAUCAGUAGCCGGUCUGAGAGGAUGAACGGCCACAUUGGAACUGAGACACGGUCCAAACUCCUACGGGAGGCAGCAGUGGGGAAUAUUGCACAAUGGGGGGAACCCUGAUGCAGCGACGCCGCGUGAGCGAAGAAGGUUUUCGAAUCGUAAAGCUCUGUCCUAUGAGAAGAUAGUGACGGUAUCAUAGGAGGAAGCCCCGGCUAAAUACGUGCCAGCAGCCGCGGUAAUACGUAUGGGGCGAGCGUUGUCCGGAAUUAUUGGGCGUAAAGGGUACGUAGGCGGCCUUUUAAGUCAGGUGUGAAAGCGUGAGGCUUAACCUCAUUAAGCACUUGAAACUGGAAGGCUUGAGUGAAGGAGAGGAAAGUGGAAUUCCUAGUGUAGCGGUGAAAUGCGUAGAUAUUAGGAGGAAUACCGGUGGCGAAGGCGACUUUCUGGACUUUUACUGACGCUCAGGUACGAAAGCGUGGGGAGCAAACAGG